AGUGAACGCUGGCGGUAGGCCUAACACAUGCAAGUCGAACGGCAGCACAGUAAGAGCUUGCUCUUACGGGUGGCGAGUGGCGGACGGGUGAGGAAUACAUCGGAAUCUACUUUUUCGUGGGGGAUAACGUAGGGAAACUUACGCUAAUACCGCAUACGACCUACGGGUGAAAGCAGGGGAUCUUCGGACCUUGCGCGACUGAAUGAGCCGAUGUCGGAUUAGCUAGUUGGCGGGGUAAAGGCCCACCCAGGCGACGAUCCGUAGCUGGUCUGAGAGGAUGAUCAGCCACACUGGAACUGAGACACGGUCCAGACUCCUACGGGAGGCAGCAGUGGGGAAUAUUGGACAAUGGGCGCAAGCCUGAUCCAGCCAUACCGCGUGGGUGAAGAAGGCCUUCGGGUUGUAAAGCCCUUUUGUUGGGAAAGAAAAGCAGCAGGUUAAUACCCCGCUGUUCUGACGGUACCCAAAGAAUAAGCACCGGCUAACUUCGUG
RNAcentral lists this ribosomal RNA (492 nucleotides) under uncultured bacterium. RNAcentral describes it as "partial 16S ribosomal RNA". It matches the Rfam family "Bacterial small subunit ribosomal RNA", at positions 29 to 507 of the family's 1533-position model. The record is from RNAcentral.